This 109-nucleotide transfer RNA is filed under the name Acidobacteriota bacterium. RNAcentral describes it as "Acidobacteria bacterium (sponge metagenome) tRNA-Leu". The stretch from base 46 to 99 matches the Rfam family "tRNA", at positions 7 to 64 of the family's 71-position model. Lineage: Bacteria; Pseudomonadati; Acidobacteriota. The record is from RNAcentral.
GGGAUUUCGCGACCGCCAAAAAAUGGCUACUUCAUAGGCACUUAAGAAUCUUGCAAGAGCCGGCCUGUCAAGCCGGAGAUCGCGGGUUCAAAUCCCGUCGGGCCCGCCA